CAGCACCUCAAGUGGUCAGGAUGAUUAUUGGGCCUAAAGCAUCCGUAGCCGGCGCUGUAAGUUUUCGGUUAAAUCUGUACGCUCAACGUACAGGCUGCCGGGAAUACUGCAGCGCUAGGGAGUGGGAGAGGUAGACGGUACUCGGUAGGAAGGGGUAAAAUCCUUUGAUCUAUUGAAGACCACCUGUGGCGAAGGCGGUCUACCAGAACACGUUCGACGGUGAGGGAUGAAAGCUGGGGGAGCAAACCGGAUUAGAUACCCGAGUAGUCC
This 270-nucleotide ribosomal RNA is filed under the name uncultured archaeon. RNAcentral describes it as "partial 16S ribosomal RNA". It matches the Rfam family "Archaeal small subunit ribosomal RNA", at positions 477 to 747 of the family's 1478-position model. The record is from RNAcentral.